Molecule: ribosomal RNA, 200 nt
Filed under: uncultured bacterium
Lineage: Bacteria
Description: partial 16S ribosomal RNA
Rfam family: Bacterial small subunit ribosomal RNA
Source: RNAcentral
ACGCUCGACACCUACGGGGGCAGCAGUGGGGAAUAUUGGGCAAUGGGCGAAAGCCUGACCCAGCAACGCCGCGUGAGGGAAGAAGGUUUUCGGAUUGUAAACCUCUGUCCUCAGGGACGAAGGACGUGACGGUACCUGAGGAGGAAGCCCCGGCUAACUACGUGUCAGCAGCCGCGGUAAUCUGAGCGGGCUGGCAAGGC